CCCAGUCCUGUGCUAGACGCUGGAAUGAAUUAGUCAGACGGGGUCUGAGUCCUUAAGGAACUCGAUCAAAUAUGGGGCAGAGAUGGUAACAAGUAAUAUAGUUCAGCAGAGGAGAUGCCAGAACUGUGUGCAAAACACCCGGCUAACACAGAGAUGACAACUGAUUCUGCCUGGAAAAACAGCAGUUGAGGUGACACAAGCUGUAGCGAGAAGUGGAGUCUGGGGGCAUUUCCCGACGUUGAGUCUCGGAAGCUGCCGGAACCAAGGUGCUGCGGUAGUGGAGUGAUUCUCGGUGGGAUAUUGUUACCGGACCUGUUCAAGGCCGUUCCGUCAGCGUUUUCAGACGCAAAGGGGUCGUGGCUGCUGGUGCGGAUCUUCGGUCUACACUUUUAGAGGUCACAGCAGCAAAAGAUGAACGGAACCCUGUGGAAGAUUCAGAGCUUUGGGAGAGAAUCCCACUUAUUCUGCAGGUAAGUGGUUAUUUCCUUGUAUGAUCUGCCUACUUUAAGUGACCUUCUAUUCUAGCAUUCUAUAACAAUUUUGCCUAGAAGGAUGCCUACCACAUAUUUGAGAAUAGUAGCAGAGACCAAGUCCCAC
Molecule: long non-coding RNA, 597 nt
Filed under: Urocitellus parryii (Arctic ground squirrel)
Lineage: Eukaryota; Metazoa; Chordata; Mammalia; Rodentia; Sciuridae
Description: lncRNA (ENSUPAG00010003092.1)
Source: RNAcentral